UUGCCCAUUUUGGCACUAGCACAUUUUUGCUUCUGUAUAUACUCGUUGAGCAAUUAUGUGUAGUGCCAAUAUAGGAGA
RNAcentral lists this microRNA precursor (78 nucleotides) under Scleropages formosus (Asian bonytongue). Its description in RNAcentral is "mir-96 microRNA precursor family". It matches the Rfam family "mir-96 microRNA precursor family". Lineage: Eukaryota; Metazoa; Chordata; Actinopteri; Osteoglossiformes; Osteoglossidae. The record is from Rfam by way of RNAcentral.